CCCUUAGAUGUUCUGGGCUGCACGCGCGCUACACUGAUGCGCUCAACGAGUUUAUGACCUUGCCCGGAAGGGUUGGGUAAUCUUCUUAAAACGCAUCGUGAUGGGGAUAGAUUAUUGCAAUUGUUAAUCUUGAACGAGGAAUUCCUAGUAAACGCGAGUCAUCAGCUCGCAUUGAUUACGUCCCUGCCCUUUGUACACACCGCCCGUCGCACCUACCGAUUGAAUGGUUCGGUGAAGAUCUCGGACUUCGAUAUUUAUUCUUUAUUGAGUUUAUAUUGUGGGAAGUUAUCUAAACCUCAUCAUUUAGAGGAAGGUGAAGUCGUAACA
RNAcentral lists this ribosomal RNA (327 nucleotides) under uncultured eukaryote. RNAcentral describes it as "partial 18S ribosomal RNA". It matches the Rfam family "Eukaryotic small subunit ribosomal RNA", at positions 1470 to 1796 of the family's 1831-position model. The record is from RNAcentral.